Molecule: ribosomal RNA, 253 nt
Filed under: uncultured bacterium
Lineage: Bacteria
Description: partial 16S ribosomal RNA
Rfam family: Bacterial small subunit ribosomal RNA
Source: RNAcentral
UACGAAGGGGGCUAGCGUUGUUCGGAAUCACUGGGCGUAGAGGGCGCGUAGGCGGCCGAUCAAGUCGGGGGUGAAAGCCUGUGGCUCAACCACAGAAUUGCCUUCGAUACUGUUUGGCUUGAGACCGGAAGAGGUUAGUGGAACUGCGAGUGUAGAGGUGAAAUUCGUAGAUAUUCGCAAGAACACCAGUGGCGAAGGCGGCUGACUGGUCCGGUUCUGACGCUGAGGCGCGAAAGCGUGGGGAGCAAACAGG